GGGUUGUGAGGUUAAGCGACUAAGCGUACACGGUGGAUGCCCUGGCAGUCAGAGGCGAUGAAGGACGUGCUAAUCUGCGAUAAGCGUCGGUAAGGUGAUAUGAACCGUUAUAACCGGCGAUUUCCGAAUGGGGAAACCCAGUGUGUUUCGACACACUAUCAUUAACUGAAUCCAUAGGUUAAUGAGGCGAACCGGGGGAACUGAAACAUCUAAGUACCCCGAGGAAAAGAAAUCAACCGAGAUUCCCCCAGUAGCGGCGAGCGAACGGGGAGCAGCCCAGAGCCUGAAUCAGUGUGUGUGUUAGUGGAAGCGUCUGGAAAGGCGCGCGAUACAGGGUGACAGCCCCGUACACAAAAAUGCACAUGCUGUGAGCUCGAUGAGUAGGGCGGGACACGUGGUAUCCUGUCUGAAUAUGGGGGGACCAUCCUCCAAGGCUAAAUACUCCUGACUGACCGAUAGUGAACCAGUACCGUGAGGGAAAGGCGAAAAGAACCCCGGCGAGGGGAGUGAAAAAGAACCUGAAACCGUGUACGUACAAGCAGUGGGAGCACGCUUCGGCGUGUGACUGCGUACCUUUUGUAUAAUGGGUCAGCGACUUAUAUUCUGUAGCAAGGUUAACCGAAUAGGGGAGCCGAAGGGAAACCGAGUCUUAACUGGGCGUUAAGUUGCAGGGUAUAGACCCGAAACCCGGUGAUCUAGCCAUGGGCAGGUUGAAGGUUGGGUAACACUAACUGGAGGACCGAACCGACUAAUGUUGAAAAAUUAGCGGAUGACUUGUGGCUGGGGGUGAAAGGCCAAUCAAACCGGGAGAUAGCUGGUUCUCCCCGAAAGCUAUUUAGGUAGCGCCUCGUGAAUUCAUCUCCGGGGGUAGAGCACUGUUUCGGCAAGGGGGUCAUCCCGACUUACCAACCCGAUGCAAACUGCGAAUACCGGAGAAUGUUAUCACGGGAGACACACGGCGGGUGCUAACGUCCGUCGUGAAGAGGGAAACAACCCAGACCGCCAGCUAAGGUCCCAAAGUCAUGGUUAAGUGGGAAACGAUGUGGGAAGGCCCAGACAGCCAGGAUGUUGGCUUAGAAGCAGCCAUCAUUUAAAGAAAGCGUAAUAGCUCACUGGUCGAGUCGGCCUGCGCGGAAGAUGUAACGGGGCUAAACCAUGCACCGAAGCUGCGGCAGCGACGCUGAUGCGUUGUUGGGUAGGGGAGCGUUCUGUAAGCCUGCGAAGGUGUACUGUGAGGUAUGCUGGAGGUAUCAGAAGUGCGAAUGCUGACAUAAGUAACGAUAAAGCGGGUGAAAAGCCCGCUCGCCGGAAGACCAAGGGUUCCUGUCCAACGUUAAUCGGGGCAGGGUGAGUCGACCCCUAAGGCGAGGCCGAAAGGCGUAGUCGAUGGGAAACAGGUUA
RNAcentral lists this ribosomal RNA (1401 nucleotides) under Escherichia coli. RNAcentral describes it as "partial 23S ribosomal RNA". It matches the Rfam family "Bacterial large subunit ribosomal RNA", at positions 1 to 1432 of the family's 2925-position model. Lineage: Bacteria; Pseudomonadati; Pseudomonadota; Gammaproteobacteria; Enterobacterales; Enterobacteriaceae. The record is from RNAcentral.